Molecule: long non-coding RNA, 501 nt
Organism: Gossypium arboreum
Lineage: Eukaryota; Viridiplantae; Streptophyta; Magnoliopsida; Malvales; Malvaceae
Exons: 2
Source: RefSeq, a predicted model, not a curated record
ACAAAUUAUCCUUUCCCCUCACAUAACACAAUUACCUUCAUUAUUUCCCAUUCUCUAUUUUUCUCUUUGUUUAAUCUUAAAUUUCUACAUUUUCUUUCUUCUUUUCACAUGGAUAUCAUCAUACCUUUCUACAAUCAUACAUCUCACUUGUCCACCAUACAUCUUAGGAAGACUACGAAGAAGAGUUGCGGAGAAUGUGGAGGGAAAAUCUCUGGUACUGCCUUUACUUUUCAUUCGUGCAGGGUUAAUUUGGAAGCACAUUUCAUGUGCGGAUAAAUUGAAUCGUGACCUGCCUCUUGAAAUUAUUCACCCCCUCCACUUGCAACACCGACUUCAACUACUAUGGGGUUAUGAUACGGAUUUCAUUUGUGAUAAAUUGGUCAGCUGCCUAAAGAUCAAGAGCCAUUCAGAUUUAAAGAUGGAAAGAAAAAGACAAUCUUCCACUACAGCCACUGUCACAAGCUGGGCUUCUUAAAAUAUAGGAAGGUACGCGAAGAAGAC